Molecule: long non-coding RNA, 144 nt
Organism: Sphaeramia orbicularis (orbiculate cardinalfish)
Lineage: Eukaryota; Metazoa; Chordata; Actinopteri; Kurtiformes; Apogonidae
Exons: 3
Source: RefSeq, a predicted model, not a curated record
CAGAGGAACAAGAUGUGACAGGUCCAUCUCUCUACUUCCAGAACUUCAGGGAUCUGCUGCUAACAUCUUGGUCCAGAUACCACAGAACACCUACAGAGGUCUGGUGGAAUCUAGGCCUUGAGUCAGAGCGGUUUUUGUGAAAAA